AAGCAAUAAUUAGGGCCGAAUUCUAUGUUUUGGACCCUUUCUUCAACAAGCAGCACUUUAAAACUCUUUUUUUUUUUUUUUUUCUUUUUUUUUUUUUCAACUCUUCUUUUUUUUCAUUCUAUUUUUCACGAAUCUUUCUUUUCUACUCGUGCCUUAUGAAUGAUUUUGGCAUACACACACACACAAGAAUCACUUCCCCCACACUUGUUUUCUGCCAUACAUUAAUCAAAAGGAAUUCAAUUUGACUCCUACUUCACUAUGCUUCAAGAACAAGGGUGGAUGGUCCUAAACUAGGAUAGGUAAGGAUAAUGUGGUUUAACAAAGAAUGUAGGCUAUCAAGGCUCAAUGGGGUUAACUUAAACAUAUAACGAUAUGGGAUACAUGGCAGUUUGGCUUUGGUGGUGGUAACUAUACAACUUCAUCUUGAAUAUGUUUUAUGCAAAUCAAUAGCAUGCUUUGAAUGAAAUAGGCAUGAGUUCUAGCAUUUGGAACUAAAUGAUGAAACGCCUUCUAAGUAAUAGCCAAGCAAAGAAUAAUGAAAUCAUGCAACGACUUUAGAAAACAAGAAUGCACAGAUUUUAACUCUCCAAAUAAACGUUUAAGCUCAAGUCUCACAAGGUUAUAGCGUUAGUUUGAGUUCUUUCCUUCAAGCAUGUUACAAAAAACUAAUUUUUUCUUUUUAUGAUUACAUGUGAUUUCAUAAGUUUAUAACCACAACCACGCAUAAAUAAAGAGUAAAUCAAACUUUCAUCCAUGUUUAUAACUCUCUUUAACAGUCAUGUAAUUACAAACCGAAUCCUCAUCAUUGUGUUGGAAGGUACCCUAAGACACAGAUAAGCGCACAAAAACAACUCCUUUUUUUUUUGAAUUUUCAAAAACAAUUUUUCAAAUUUUUAUGAAUUUUCGGAUUUUUUAUGUCAAAACACACUGAAACACUCCAAAACAGCUUAAAAAAAAUACUUAAAACAACAAGGAACAACACAAGAAGUAAUGGGUGAUAAAUUUCUACGAAUUUCAUGCAAAACAAUGGUUACCCCCCCACACUUAAAUCAAACAUUGUCCUCAAUGUUUCAAGCAUAUACUCACACCAAAAACAAGCAAAUAAUAAACGACAAAUAAACAUGACAAAUAUGGCAAAGUAAAAACCAGACAGAGUAGAGUUUAAGAACGCAAAUCUGGUUUUGGAGAUAGUUGAUCUUGUUGACUUUCCACAGCUUUGAUCUUGAACUGGAUUGGAAUUGUACGGCGAAGCUUUUCUCUUUGGCGAUGUUCCAAUUCCUUAUUUGUUCUCCAAGCAGAUGUGGCAGCUUCUCUAGUUCUUCAUUUCAGACUCCUUCCGUGGCCCCACCGACUGCUGAGACUCCGCCGACUACUGCGACUCCGCCGACUAUUACGACCUCUCCCAAACAGCCUUUGUGAAGGCUCUUCCUCUUGUAUUAUGUUAUGUUUCUUUAUUUCCCAGAUUCCUGUUCAUUUCAUGAAGUUUAAUGUCAAAAAUCCCUUGCAUAUUUGUUAAUAUUUCAAAAAUAGAAAGUCACAACCAAAAAUAAUUAAACAAGUAAGAAAAUUGACAAUCAAGCAGAAUAAAUGGGUUGCCUCCCUUAAAGCGCUUGCUUUAACGUCUUCCAGCCGGACGAUGAACACCUUCACUUCUCCUUGGAACCCACGGCAUGCAGUGGGAUCUCCUCCACAACAUGCUCCACAAAGUUCUCGUAGUAUGGUUUCAAGCGAUGUCCAUUCACUUUGAAUUCUUGCCCGGUUCUCAAGCUCUUAAUUUGGACUGCACCAUGCACAAAAAGAUUAGUAACAACAAACGGGCCAACCCAUUUGGAA
This 1833-nucleotide long non-coding RNA is filed under the name Malus domestica (apple). RNAcentral describes it as "long non-coding RNA (MDOM_LNC007545)". Lineage: Eukaryota; Viridiplantae; Streptophyta; Magnoliopsida; Rosales; Rosaceae. The record is from RNAcentral.